Cherax quadricarinatus is the source of this 1891-nucleotide non-coding RNA. Lineage: Eukaryota; Metazoa; Arthropoda; Malacostraca; Decapoda; Parastacidae. The record is from RefSeq and is a predicted model, not a curated record.
CUACAGGAGCCACCAUUAUUCAAACGUACUUCCUCGACGUCGGGCGGUCAACAGUAGGCUCAUCUGUUUUUCACUGUCAUCAGCAACUGCUGACAGAGAGAAGUCCCGCCUCAGUGGCAACAUUAUCAACAUCACCAUGAAGCCUAUGUAUCUGCUGGUGCUGCUCUGCGUCUACCUGGUGAAGGUGGAGAGCGCCGUGACCGACCAACCCCCACUAGACGAGACUGCAGGAACAGACGAAGGCAGUGGAAACUACGAACAACUUGAUGAAUUUGCCUUGAAUGACACCCUGGCUGACAGAGCUGUAUGCAGAUUUCAUGAUGCCUGCCAAGAUGCAGGAGGAGUCUGCACGAGUAGUUGCAGAGAUUCCGGUGAGAUCAGUAGGAGGAACUGCGGUCCUGGGUGCAGGUGCUGCGCUGCGAGUAGUAGUAAGUGCACAAGUAAACCGAUAUGCAGACGCUUCGGUGGAGCGUGUCAGAAAGCUGCCUGCAAGGCCAACCAGCUGCAGCUCCCAUCUGGAUGCCUGACUAGCAGCUGUAGAUGUUGUGUCUCUGGAACUGUUCAUCAUUCCGAUGAAAUCAAUGGAUUCUUUCCUAUCAGAGUAAAUGAAGAGAAUGAUGGAACUCCGCAAGAAGAACUGAUAGAAGACGCAGCAGAAAAUGAAGAGGAGCAGUAAAACCCUCUGUACCUAAACCUACACACACACACACACACAUACACACACACACACACACACACACAUACACACACAACACACACACACACACACACACACACACACACACACACACACACACACACACACACACACACACACACACACACACACAAGGCUCUGCAACGAUUCGAAGUAAAACUAUUUCUUUUGUUUUUAGAGCUUGCAAAUAAACGAGUACAAAGGUUCUUUAUGUUACUGGACAGGAUACCAUUAACACGCAUCCUAACUGUACCAUUGCUAUGAUGCACCUACCGUUAAAUAAUAAUUUCAUUACCACUAUCAUAACGCAGGAGCCAUGACAAUUACUAUAACUACCAUGAUCUACCUGUCAUUGAUGAUGGUUAUACACUCGUGUGUAACUUGUUAUUUCAUGACAUAAUAACAUUGUUGGUAUACCCCACAUAACACUCUUGUUAUAUUCCACAUAACACUCUUGUUAUAUUCCACAUAACACUCUUGUUAUAUUCCACAUAACACUCUUGUUAUAUUCCACAUAACACUCUUGUUAUAUUCCACAUAACACUCUUGAUAUACCUGAUAUAAUAACAUUUGGUAUACUCGACAUAAUAACACUCUUAAUGUACUUCACACAUUACAUACUGAGGCUUUACGGAGUGAAUUCCGCUUAAUGUUACAGAAUAUAGUUUUAAAAUGGAGCUAAUUGUUCAAAAUUAAUUUAUAAUUAUUAAAUUGCUCUAAAAGUAUAUUUUUUUCUUAAUACGGUAUACCACUGACCAAUAUACACUGAUAUUUCUCGUUUUCCAACCCAUCCUGGCAAACACUGUGUACAUUUCUAACAUAUGGCUUGCGGCUAAUCUCUCAGAUUUCAUUAUUUAGGCCAGCUUAGGCUUGGAGAGGGUAAAUUAGGAAUAAAUAAAACAAAAAAGUUCUAGAGCGAGAACAGAAACCCUGUACCUACUGAGCAAGACUGACACACCACACGAAUUUUCAUUAUUUUGUAACAGUAGAAUGCUGACUGUUAUGUAGAGGACAGGCUAAAUUUACGUAAGUAUUAUUUUUUUCAUAAUGACCUAGAUUACAUGCAUUUGUAACUUUUUCUACAAUAUAUUAUUGAAUAUGCUGGUGUGUGCCUCACCUUUUGGGAGCUUGUUAAAAUGUUUAUGGUUUCGGAGAGUUUAUCUGUUUAAUGCAAUACAAAAAUACAAAGAAAAA